UCUUGUCCAUGUCAAUCCAGCGCUAUGACUUCAAUUGAUGCAACAAACCAUCUAGCCCAAAAAUCUCCACUUUUGGAUUUCGAGUGGAGAACUUCGGAGUGUGUUUGUAAGAAUGGCAGCAACAACACCGCUUGACUUUGUUUCAAGGUGGCUAGGAAUGACCCAACGUUAACUGUCACACUCUCAAAACAGUGGCAGAUCGCCUCACAAAACUGCUGCUUGAGCGUCAUCUGUGACUCAAAGAUAAAGAAUACUAGAAACAAUUGAGCCUGCCAAUCCCUGAGUAAGCAGCUGCAUCUUUCCCUUAAGUGGCACGAAGAAGGAAGUGCCAUAGCUGUGAUCUCAUCGACCAGCUUUCUGCAUGGGAAUCCCAGUUGUCCAUAAAAGAUUGCAACAAAGUAUUCCAGGGUGAAAAUCAAGCCUUUCCUGUUAGCA
Molecule: long non-coding RNA, 435 nt
Organism: Dermacentor albipictus
Lineage: Eukaryota; Metazoa; Arthropoda; Arachnida; Ixodida; Ixodidae
Source: RefSeq, a predicted model, not a curated record